AGAUGGCGACCGGCGCACGGGUGAGUAACACGUAUCCAACCUGCCGAUAACUCGGGGAUAGCCUUUCGAAAGAAAGAUUAAUACCCGAUGGUAUAAUCAGACCGCAUGGUUUGAUUAUUAAAGAAUUUCGGUUAUCGAUGGGGAUGCGUUCCAUUAGGCAGUUAGUGAGGUAACGGCUCACCAAACCUUCGAUGGAUAGGGGUUCUGAGAGGAAGGUCCCCCACAUUGGAACUGAGACACGGUCCAA
RNAcentral lists this ribosomal RNA (247 nucleotides) under uncultured bacterium. RNAcentral's name for it is "partial 16S ribosomal RNA". It matches the Rfam family "Bacterial small subunit ribosomal RNA", at positions 86 to 334 of the family's 1533-position model. The record is from RNAcentral.